This 599-nucleotide ribosomal RNA is filed under the name gamma proteobacterium TH-M31. Its description in RNAcentral is "bacterial SSU rRNA". It matches the Rfam family "Bacterial small subunit ribosomal RNA", at positions 33 to 625 of the family's 1533-position model. The record is from RNAcentral. Lineage: Bacteria; Pseudomonadati; Pseudomonadota; Gammaproteobacteria.
ACGCUGGCGGCAGGCCUAACACAUGCAAGUCGAGCGGCAGCACGGGUACUUGUACCUGGUGGCGAGCGGCGGACGGGUGAGUAAUGCCUAGGAAUCUGCCUGGUAGUGGGGGAUAACGCUCGGAAACGGACGCUAAUACCGCAUACGUCCUACGGGAGAAAGCAGGGGACCUUCGGGCCUUGCGCUAUCAGAUGAGCCUAGGUCGGAUUAGCUAGUUGGUGAGGUAAUGGCUCACCAAGGCGACGAUCCGUAACUGGUCUGAGAGGAUGAUCAGUCACACUGGAACUGAGACACGGUCCAGACUCCUACGGGAGGCAGCAGUGGGGAAUAUUGGACAAUGGGCGAAAGCCUGAUCCAGCCAUGCCGCGUGUGUGAAGAAGGUCUUCGGAUUGUAAAGCACUUUAAGUUGGGAGGAAGGGCAGUUACCUAAUACGUAUCUGUUUUGACGUUACCGACAGAAUAAGCACCGGCUAACUCUGUGCCAGCAGCCGCGGUAAUACAGAGGGUGCAAGCGUUAAUCGGAAUUACUGGGCGUAAAGCGCGCGUAGGUGGUUUGUUAAGUUGAAUGUGAAAUCCCCGGGCUCAACCUGGGAACUGCA